This 515-nucleotide ribosomal RNA is filed under the name Streptomyces sp. WAC 01420. RNAcentral's name for it is "bacterial SSU rRNA". It matches the Rfam family "Bacterial small subunit ribosomal RNA", at positions 12 to 522 of the family's 1533-position model. The record is from RNAcentral. Lineage: Bacteria; Bacillati; Actinomycetota; Actinomycetes; Kitasatosporales; Streptomycetaceae.
UUUGAUCCUCGGCUCAGAUUGAACGCUGGCGGCAUGCCUUACACAUGCAAGUCGAACGGUAACGCGGGGCAACCUGGCGACGAGUGGCGAACGGGUGAGUAAUGUAUCGGAACGUGCCCAGUCGUGGGGGAUAACUGCUCGAAAGAGCAGCUAAUACCGCAUACGACCUGAGGGUGAAAGCGGGGGAUCGCAAGACCUCGCGCGAUUGGAGCGGCCGAUAUCAGAUUAGGUAGUUGGUGGGUAAAGGCCCACCAAGCCAACGAUCUGUAGCUGGUCUGAGAGGACGACCAGCCACACUGGGACUGAGACACGGCCCAGACUCCUACGGGAGGCAGCAGUGGGGAAUUUUGGACAAUGGGCGCAAGCCUGAUCCAGCCAUGCCGCGUGCGGGAAGAAGGCCUUCGGGUUGUAAACCGCUUUUGUCAGGGAACGAAAAGGCUCCUUCUAAUACAAGAGGGCUCAUGACGGUACCUGAAGAAUAAGCACCGGCUAACUACGUGCCAGCCGCCGCGGUA